AGUGGGAACGAUUUAGCCAUGCUAGUCGCACGAGUUCAGACUCGUGGCGAAUAGCUCAGUAACACGUGGCCAAACUACCCUUCGGAACACAAUACCCUCGGGAAACUGAGGCUAAUAGUGUAUACCAUACCACCACUGGAAUGAGUGGUAUGCCAAACGCUCCGGCGCCGAAGGAUGUGGCUGCGGCCGAUUAGGUAGACGGUGGGGUAACGGCCCACCGUGCCAAUAAUCGGUACGGGUCAUGAGAGUGAGAACCCGGAGACGGAAUCUGAGACAAGAUUCCGGGCCCUACGGGGCGCAGCAGGCGCGAAACCUUUACACUGCACGACAGUGCGAUAGGGGGAUCCCAAGUGCACAGGCAUAGCGCCUGUGCUUUUCGGCACCCUAAGGCGGUGCCAGAAUAAGGGCUGGGCAAGACCGGUGCCAGCCGCCGCGGUAAUACCGGCAGCCCAAGUGAUGGCCGAUCUUAUUGGGCCUAAAGCGUCCGUAGCUGGCCGCGCAAGUCCAUCGGGAAAUCCACCUGCUCAACAGGUGGGCGCCCGGUAGAAACUGCGUGGCUUGGGACCGGAAGGCGCGACGGGUACGUCCGGGGUAGGAGUGAAAUCCCGUAAUCCUGGACGGACCGCCGAUGGCGAAAGCACGUCGCGAGAACGGAUCCGACAGUGAGGGACGAAAGCCAGGGUCUCGAACCGGAUUAGAU
This 700-nucleotide ribosomal RNA is filed under the name Halorubrum sp. S2FP16. RNAcentral's name for it is "bacterial SSU rRNA". It matches the Rfam family "Archaeal small subunit ribosomal RNA", at positions 32 to 734 of the family's 1478-position model. Lineage: Archaea; Methanobacteriati; Methanobacteriota; Halobacteria; Halobacteriales; Haloferacaceae. The record is from RNAcentral.